Molecule: long non-coding RNA, 418 nt
Organism: Panicum virgatum (switchgrass)
Lineage: Eukaryota; Viridiplantae; Streptophyta; Magnoliopsida; Poales; Poaceae
Exons: 2
Source: RefSeq, a predicted model, not a curated record
UUUUGUGUAGAUGCUGUGGAGCGCUAUUAUUUAGGCACGCCCAGUCUGCCAUGCCAAGUGCUCGCUUUGGUUGCUAACUUGUGCCCUCUCCAGCUCGCCGGACCACACCGCAGAACAGCAAUAAUGUCACCAAACACAUGCGUUUGCCUGAUGAUUGUCGUCCUCAGCUUAUUGGUCCUUGUCAUCAGCAGCAGCCUUACUGCAGGUAGCGAGGGCGGAGCACGGGCAUCUUGCGGCGUUAAUGAUCCGAACAACCCCUGUCCAAGAUCGUGCGGUCCGUUCUCACCUUCUUGUCAUUAGCACCUGAGAGCCUGGGAGCUCAUCCUGAUUCUACAAAAUGCAUAAAAUUUGCGAAUAUUAUCUGGUUUCCUUUGUGCUCAUCCUAAUUCUACACAUUUGAAAGAGAUUGCAGUUUCCA